GCAUCCAUGGCUGAAUGGUGAAAGCGCCCACCAACCUAGAAAGGAAAAAUGGGUCAAAAGUAGGUUCGAUUCCUGCCGGAUGCA
This is a non-coding RNA of Triticum aestivum (bread wheat), 84 nucleotides long. The record is from Rfam. Lineage: Eukaryota; Viridiplantae; Streptophyta; Magnoliopsida; Poales; Poaceae.